RNAcentral lists this ribosomal RNA (253 nucleotides) under uncultured bacterium. RNAcentral describes it as "partial 16S ribosomal RNA". It matches the Rfam family "Bacterial small subunit ribosomal RNA", at positions 524 to 776 of the family's 1533-position model. The record is from RNAcentral.
UACGUAGGGUGCAGGCGUUAAUCGGAAUUACUGGGCGUAAAGCGUGCGCAGGCGGUUUCUUAAGUCAGAUGUGAAAGCCCCGGGCUUAACCUGGGAACUGCGUUUGAAACUGGGAGACUUGAGUGUGGCAGAGGGGGGUGGAAUUCCACGUGUAGCAGUGAAAUGCGUAGAUAUGUGGAGGAACACCGAUGGCGAAGGCAGCCCCCUGGGUUAACACUGACGCUCAUGCACGAAAGCGUGGGGGGCAAACAGG